This 377-nucleotide ribosomal RNA is filed under the name uncultured eukaryote. Its description in RNAcentral is "partial 18S ribosomal RNA". It matches the Rfam family "Eukaryotic small subunit ribosomal RNA", at positions 592 to 976 of the family's 1831-position model. The record is from RNAcentral.
CAAUAGCGUAUAUUAAAGUUGUUGCAGUUAAAAAGCUCGUAGUUGGAUUUCGGGGUGGCCUGCCUGGUCCACCGCAAGGUGAGUACUGGUCAGCCGCCCUUCCUCUCGAAAGCCCCGACUGCUCUUCAUUGCAGUGGUCGGGUAGUUCGGGACGUUUACUUUGAAAAAAUUAGAGUGUUCAAGGCAGGCUAUCGCCUGAAUACAUUAGCAUGGAAUAAUGGAAGAGGACCUCGGUCCUAUUUUGUUGGUUUCUAGGGCCGAAGUAAUGAUUAAGAGGGACAGUUGGGGGCAUUCGUAUUUCAUUGUCAGAGGUGAAAUUCUUGGAUUUAUGAAAGACGAACUACUGCGAAAGCAUUUGCCAAGGAUGUUUUCAUUAA